AAUCAACGCUGGCGGCGUGCCUAACACAUGCAAGUCGAACGAGAAAGUGGAGCAAUCCAUGAGUAAAGUGGCGACCGGGUGAGUAACACGUGACUAACCUACCCUGAAGUGGGGAAUAACCUCGGGAAACCGGGGCUAAUACCGCAUAACAUCGCGAGCUGUAAACGCUUGUGAUCAAAGGAGCAAUUCGCUUUUGGAGGGGGUCGCGGCUGAUUAGCUAGUUGGUAAGGUAACGGCUUACCAAGGCUUAGAUCAGUAUCCGGCCUGAGAGGGCGCACGGACACACUGGAACUGAAACACGGUCCAGACUCCUACGGGAGGCAGCAGUGGGGAAUUUUGCGCAAUGGGGGAAACCCUGACGCAGCAACGCCGCGUGGAGGAUGAAGUCCCUUGGGAUGUAAACUCC
Molecule: ribosomal RNA, 406 nt
Filed under: uncultured bacterium
Lineage: Bacteria
Description: bacterial SSU rRNA
Rfam family: Bacterial small subunit ribosomal RNA
Source: RNAcentral